CCAGAAAAACAAAGGGACCUGGAUAAACCCGGUGCUUCAAAGGGAAACAAAAAAAAGAAAUAAAGCUGGAAAAUAACUGUCAAUGACUGUCAAUGCAAAAGGAUGUGCUACAGUUUCCCAUGUACAGGAGCUCUGUGCUGAACUCAGAUGUUGCUGGAUAAUACCCAGCAUAUUCCAACAUAUAAUUGAGGGAUCUGUAAUUCAGAAACAAGAAACAAUUGACAUGGCCAGGAAGCAAAAAGAACAAAGUUCUUCACUGAUAGAGUACGGUGUACAAAAGCUCUGGCAAUUCUCAAAGCAACAGACAUAGAGCUGAAUAUUAGGAUGAACCUGCCAUGUGGGCACUGGCUGAAAGGUUUUCAGAUUUGCCAAGUAACAUGGGUGGGUGCAGCUGAAGAAGCUUUGCCUCAUCGUCCCCUGGAUCAUGUAUUCAUCAGCUGUCUUCCUUGGCCGGUGUGGUAAAGCCCAGCAGCCAAAUCGACUCUGCAUGCUGUCUGCUUUCCAUCCUAAAGUCAAGCGGAACUUCUGUUUUUCUUUACACCCUCCCCUGAAUUAAAGUCAACAAGGCUGGUCAGUUGCAAGAGCCAAUAUUUAUUUGGUGUAAUCCUUUACCUUUGAUUAUUAAGUUUAACGCAAGGGGACUAUUACAUUCCUGGAAUUAUGCUUAAAAUGCUGCCUGGUGCCAACAUCAGGGAGGUCAUCUAACAAAUGUUGGAGAGAACACGGUGCAUUCGCUAAUUCAGUUAGUUAAAUUGGUCACUCUCCAAAGAAACCAUUUAAAAAGCAGCAGAAAUGUUUAAAGAAAACUUUUCAGCUUUUAUAGAAGGAAUAAUAUUUUGCACUUCUUUUAUACAUAGUUUAUUCUGUAUGCUAUAGCCUGGGAUUUUAGUGAUUUUCAGACUUUUCUGGUACUGUGCCCACCCACCCUUCAACAGGGUUACAGGUAUAUUUUAUCAGUUAUCUUUCUGUAGAAUAUCUAGGACAACAAACCUCACUACUAACUGACUUCCAAGCUGGGCUUCUAAUAAUAUAAUAAUAUAGGGAGUAUUCAUUUCUAUUCUUGCCCCUAUUGGCAGCCUUAUUGGGAACUUUGUGGAA
This is a long non-coding RNA of Xenopus tropicalis (tropical clawed frog), 1098 nucleotides long. RefSeq lists it as uncharacterized. The record is from RefSeq and is a predicted model, not a curated record. The transcript is spliced from 2 exons. Lineage: Eukaryota; Metazoa; Chordata; Amphibia; Anura; Pipidae.